RNAcentral lists this ribosomal RNA (497 nucleotides) under uncultured bacterium. RNAcentral's name for it is "partial 16S ribosomal RNA". It matches the Rfam family "Bacterial small subunit ribosomal RNA", at positions 28 to 507 of the family's 1533-position model. The record is from RNAcentral.
GAUGAACGCUGGCGGCGUGCCUAAUACAUGCAAGUCGAGCGAACAGACGAGGAGCUUGCUCCUUCGACGUUAGCGGCGGACGGGUGAGUAACACGUAGGUAACCUACCUAUAAGACUGGGAUAACUUCGGGAAACCGGAGCUAAUACCGGAUAAUAUUUCGAACCGCAUGGUUCGAUAGUGAAAGAUGGCUUUGCUAUCACUUAUAGAUGGACCUGCGCCGUAUUAGCUAGUUGGUAAGGUAACGGCUUAACAAGGCAACGAUACGUAGCCGACCUGAGAGGGUGAUCGGCCACACUGGAACUGAGACACGGUCCAGACUCCUACGGGAGGCAGCAGUAGGGAAUCUUCCGCAAUGGGCGAAAGCCUGACGGAGCAACGCCGCGUGAGUGAUGAAGGUCUUCGGAUCGUAAAACUCUGUUAUUAGGGAAGAACAAACGUGUAAGUAACUGUGCACGUCUUGACGGUACCUAAUCAGAAAGCCACGGCUAACUACGUG